Non-coding RNA from Sturnus vulgaris (Common starling), 4179 nucleotides. Lineage: Eukaryota; Metazoa; Chordata; Aves; Passeriformes; Sturnidae. The record is from RefSeq and is a predicted model, not a curated record.
GGCCCGGGGCACGGCGGCUCCCAGGGACCGUCUGCUGGCAAAAUCGGAAGGAACGCUGACGUUGUUCUUAGCUGAACACCAUUAAAAUGCUCCUCUGGUAUCUCUCAAUAGAGGUGAAAAGCAUUUCAGCUUCCUGGAAAUGGCCGAAAGAGGCGACGUGUAGAUCAAAGUACGGCGCAAAGCUGGGUUCGUGUUUGCAGGGGUUUUUGAACUGUAGUGAAAACGUUUCUGCAGCUUGCAUCGUAAUGAGUUAAAGUCAGCACGUGAAGCGACUAAAAAAGGCAUAUUUAAACAGCAUCGGGCUAUUAACUUUCCUGGGAUUUAAGAUUUAUGUUCAAAUAUAUAUUUGGCUGUUAGCAAUACCAGCAUUUAAACAGUAACGUUGAUCUGUUCAACCCUGAAGCAAACCAGCUCUGCCUAACGCAGCUUUGAAGCAACACAGCCAGACCAUAAUACUGUGGGAGCUUAGACAGCUUUGUCUGUACUUGCAUCUCUCUGCAUAUUUUUCCAGGACUCUGAUCUUUGUCUGCGAUUAAUCAUUGUCCAGGACGGCUGUUCCCGGUGGUAGAAUCCAUGAAGUGCUCCAGCUGGGAGAGGUCCUAACGCGUGUGCCUGGCGCUGCGUACGUGCAAACCAGGGCCAGAAAUUGCUGGGGCAGCAGGCGCUGGACAGCGAGCCUGCCGUGCCGCCCCAGUGAGUUGUGUGGGUCCUCAGCACUUCUGGAAGUUGUUUUUAUCUGGAUGCAGAAGAGCAUCUGAUGGUGACUAAUUUAAUACAGAUCUGUAGCAGAGCCCUGAUCUCUGUCAGCCACGAGCAAGGCUGUGCCUCACUCCUGAACCUGGUGUUUCUGCCUGUUCCCAUGGCAAAACCAAGCCCAGCUCCCAAGGCAAACACAACUGCAGAUCACACCUGAAACGAGGAGUUCUGAAUCCCUCUCCCUCUGUGAAACAUCCAGAUUGCCUUCCCAGCCCAGAGGCAGGGGAUGAGAUUGCUGUGAUAGCUCUGCCAGCCUGUGGUGACAAAUUCCUGCCUGUGGCUUGAGGAAGCCAUGCCAACACAUCUGGGAGACACAUCCCCAGAUCCGUGGGGGCAGAGCUGUGGAGGUGUUGGCAGACACUUCCCUGUUCAUUUCAUGCUUUUCAGAGAUCACUCAUUGUGUUUGAUGUUCCAGAAAGGUAUAGGAUGAUUCUAACCUUGUGUUACCCAUUUUUCACAACAGAAUUUGGCUUGAAAAUUCAUGCUUUAGUGAUCAACAGAAACUUGAAACUGCCUCUAAGCAGUUGUAUCAGGAUGAGAUGUUACCAUGUUGAUUUACUUCAGGUUUGUGAAAUGGAGUGGUUUUUCCCCCACAGCUGCAAAGCCAAGAACUCAGUUUCUAAUGAAAGGUGAAAUUCAACAGACAGCAUGUUGGCCAUGUGUGUAUCAGGUAGGCCAUAUUGUGGCACCUCUGAUUAAAGAAUAACAGAGAAAAAACCCAAGAAACAGUUUGUGUUCCCUAUAAAUAGCUGCUCACCACGUAGUCAUGAGUAUGUGGUUUAUAAAUAAAGUUUAUCCAAACUACAUCAGAGUGCCUAAAUAUUCUCUGCUUGAUUUUGCUGAGUUGUGUGUCUUAAUUUGUUGCAUACCUCCCCUUGCAGACCCUUGUCCUGUUUUCUUUCCCAAGCCUCUGAACUCCCUGGUAGCAUUUGAUUCUACAUAGAGUUUAUCCAAAGAUUUCUGCACUGAUUGAGUGCAGGAGUACUUGAGCCAAGUGAAACAGGAACCAUUUCUAAGGCAUGAAAAGGCAGAAAGGAAAUUUUCUUAUUGAAAUAUAAUUUUUCCAUAUUACUUAAUAGUCUAGAAAGUUAAUGCCUUUCUGGCAGUACUUCCCACUGGGAAAAAAAUAUGGCUCCUACUCAGCCGAACAACAGUGUAAUAAUGUUUUAGGUUGGGUUAAACGUCUCAGAGACUGGCAGGUGUUGCAGCCACCUUGCCUUCAGUGAAAAAGGCAAUUGAGAGCCCUUAUGGAACAAGGGAUUUACAUCAGUAGGAGCUGCUACACAAAAAAACAGGCACAUGGCAAGGUUUGAAUAGAUGGUGAAUCAUGUGGCCCAAGGGAUUUUUCAGGGUGGGGGCACGUGUGUAAAAUAUCAGGCCAUGAGGACCAGAUGGUUGAGCUCUGCAUGUGUGAGAGGAACAGCGAGAAACACUGCAGAAAUGGAGACUGAGAAGCAGCUGAAAGUCAAGGACACUGGGGAGCUUUGAUUUUGGAUUUUGUGUGGAGGGUUUAGUGAGGGUCAGAGCAGUGUUGGCACUGUGAGCAAAAGUACAACUGAAAAACAAUUUUGUUCAUUUGUUCUGUAAACAGGAGGAAUCACCUUGAGUAAUACACAGUUGCUUUGUCAUAGGCUUCUCCUCUCACACUGAUUCUGUCUCCAGAAUUUUGUGCUGUGUGCAGGGACAGUUCAGCUCACCCACAUCAUAAUUCCCCCUUCCUUCUGUGCCCUGUCCAUACUGAAUUCUGUGGGGCAGAGGCUCUCCCUCAGUAAGAGUCUGUGUGCACGUGACAAGCAAUUGUUGUCCUUGUGCAACAUCUGAAAUUUAUCAGAGAUUCACUCGACUUACUUGGUAAAUCUCAUUCCUUAGGGUCUGUCUUUCCCAUUGUGAAUUUUUCAAGGCAUUCCUCUUGCUCAGUACAUGCUGUAGUGGGAAUUCAUAGCUGAAAACACAAAUAAUUAAUGUCACUGGUAAUAUUAAAAAAUAAAUAUUUAAGGCUCUGUCUUGUUGUACACUUUCUUAACUAAGUUUAUUAAUAUUUCCUUGAACAUAAAUGGGGUUAGUUGUUGCUAAGUUGGAGUCUUUGUAAACUGGGGUCUGUGUUAUGAAGAAAAAAAAUUAAGUGUAUUUAAAAUCAUAGUUCUGAAACAAUUAGGAAGAACAGGUCCCCAUUCUUGUCCAGUUUGUGUUUUCAAAUAAACUAACAAUAUGAAUAUGCAGCACAUGGUGUGUGCAAACAAUAUUGAACCUAAUCUGUGAGGUUUUUUUGGGGUGUUUUCAUUGCUAACCUGAAUUACCCAUCAAUACCAUCCAGAAUGUUACAGCAUCUUUUAAAAAUCACAAACUCCCAGCAGUUUUCCUAAGGUGUGCACUGUCUUUUCACUCCUUCCUAACUUUUUCCUUGGCGAUCAUGAAGCAACAAAUUGGCACCAAGAUUGGAGCACAGAUAUUUUCUAUACCCCACUAAUGCCCUGGUUUGUUGUGCUCACUGAGGAUCUCCCCACACACAGUGAACCCUGAGCUGCAGAUGUGUAAGCUUUUGAUGAAAGAACUUGUGCCAAAAUCAAUAUACAGGCCAAAACUGAACUAGAAAAGGACACGUGCAAUUAGUAAUGAUUAGAUUUUCAUUUCACUAAUAAAGGGUUAAAUCUUCUUCCAUUUAAAUCAGUGGAACAAUUCCAUUUUAGAUUUUGCUUUUUUUUUGGAGUCAGCAGAACAGGCUCAGCUUUUACCCAAACCUAAGUGAUAUGCCUGAAGCACUGCAUAGUUGUUAAUCAAAAUUAAGUACCUGAGACACUGAAAUGUUGUAUUUCAUCCAUACUAAGCUGACUCAUUACAACAUCCAUUACUUAAAGGCAGUCUGGGGUGUUUACAGUUAUAUUUGUAAUCUGCUUAUUUUAUGUUGUUUCAUCCCAAAUCUAAAGGUGUACAAAGCUAAAAGUUUCCUUAGGUAUAAAAUGUACAAGGAGACAAAGCAGUGAGAAAUGUAAAGAUUAUUUUGUGACACUUGGAAAAAAAGCCAAAAACAAAAAGAAAAAGCAAAACCCCACAAAUUAAUAAUGAACUACAAAAUACUUUUAUCCCCCCCAAAUUUCCCUUUAUGGCAAUAAUUGACUUGAAAAAAGCCCUGAAUUCUUCAGUUACAGGAAGACUGUUAACUCUUCCUGCUGAUUGUACCAUACAUAGCAUGAUACUGGGUUUGAGCCAGGUCCAAAUAAAUCAUUUCAGGAUAAAACAAAUUCUUUCCUAGCCCAUCCAUUCCUGUGCCAUUGGAAUGCUCUCAGCUAUUACAGUGGACAGCAGCUGAUGGCUUUUCCUGUGUUCCAGAUAAGAUUUAUAAGACUGUGCCUCGUAAAGCAUUUUUUGACAAUUUCUAUGUGCUUGCAUCAACUUUUUCCUCAGUAAAACGAUGAAUUUUAAAUA